UACGUAGGGGGCGAGCGUUAUCCGGAUUCACUGGGUGUAAAGGGAGCGUAGACGGCCAUGCAAGCCAGGGGUGAAAGCCCGGGGCCCAACCCCGGGACUGCCCUUGGAACUGCAUGGCUGGAGUGCGGGAGGGGCAGGCGGAAUUCCUGGUGUAGCGGUGAAAUGCGUAGAUAUCAGGAGGAACACCGGCGGCGUAGGCGGCCUGCUGGACCGCGACUGACGUUGAGGCUCGAAAGCGUGGGGAGCGAACAGG
This 253-nucleotide ribosomal RNA is filed under the name uncultured bacterium. Its description in RNAcentral is "partial 16S ribosomal RNA". It matches the Rfam family "Bacterial small subunit ribosomal RNA", at positions 524 to 776 of the family's 1533-position model. The record is from RNAcentral.